UGUGUGUAUGUGUUUGUGUGUGUGUGUGUAUAUAUAUAUGUAUAUACACACACACACAAACACACACACACACA
RNAcentral lists this microRNA precursor (74 nucleotides) under Marmota monax (woodchuck). Lineage: Eukaryota; Metazoa; Chordata; Mammalia; Rodentia; Sciuridae. The record is from RNAcentral.